UAACCAUGAUGAGGACAGCUAGAAAGCAAGUCUUUAAAUCUUUCCCAACACUCAAAAAACGACUCAUUUUCCUUUUGGGAAAAAUUCAUGAUAUUUUUCCUAAGAGU
This is a small nucleolar RNA of Papaver somniferum (opium poppy), 107 nucleotides long. The record is from RefSeq and is a predicted model, not a curated record. NCBI's taxonomy places the organism in Eukaryota, Viridiplantae, Streptophyta, Magnoliopsida, Ranunculales, Papaveraceae.